Peromyscus eremicus (cactus mouse) is the source of this 200-nucleotide long non-coding RNA. RefSeq lists it as uncharacterized. NCBI's taxonomy places the organism in Eukaryota, Metazoa, Chordata, Mammalia, Rodentia, Cricetidae. The record is from RefSeq and is a predicted model, not a curated record. The transcript has 2 exons.
CCCAAACCCCCUUGUCUACUAAGACGACAAUGCAUACUCUCAUAGCAUGUUGUGGCCACCGAGGCUUCAGAUCUCAGUCGCUUCUAACUGGCUUCACGAUGUGAUGUGACAACUGCUUUAAGCUCCUGCUUCCUCGAUUUCCCUGUCAGGAUGGACCACACCCUUGGACUGUGAGCCAGAAUAAACCCUUUCUUCCAUAA